RNAcentral lists this ribosomal RNA (484 nucleotides) under uncultured bacterium. RNAcentral's name for it is "partial 16S ribosomal RNA". It matches the Rfam family "Bacterial small subunit ribosomal RNA", at positions 30 to 507 of the family's 1533-position model. The record is from RNAcentral.
AUUGAACGCUGGCGGCAGGCCUAACACAUGCAAGUCGAGCGGAUGAAGGGAGCUUGCUCCUGGAUUCAGCGGCGGACGGGUGAGUAAUGCCUAGGAAUCUGCCUGGUAGUGGGGGAUAACGUCCGGAAACGGGCGCUAAUACCGCAUACGUCCUGAGGGAGAAAGUGGGGGAUCUUCGGACCUCACGCUAUCAGAUGAGCCUAGGUCGGAUUAGCUAGAUGGUGGGGUAAAGGCCUACCAAGGCGACGAUCCGUAACUGGUCUGAGAGGAUGAUCAGUCACACUGGAACUGAGACACGGUCCAGACUCCUACGGGAGGCAGCAGUGGGGAAUAUUGGACAAUGGGCGAAAGCCUGAUCCAGCCAUGCCGCGUGUGUGAAGAAGGUCUUCGGAUUGUAAAGCACUUUAAGUUGGGAGGAAGGGCAGUAAGUUAAUACCUUGCUGUUUUGACGUUACCAACAGAAUAAGCCCCGGCUAACUUCGUG